RNAcentral lists this transfer RNA (73 nucleotides) under Candidatus Falkowbacteria bacterium HGW-Falkowbacteria-1. RNAcentral describes it as "tRNA-Lys". It matches the Rfam family "tRNA". Rfam says of the family: Transfer RNA (tRNA) molecules are approximately 80 nucleotides in length. Their secondary structure includes four short double-helical elements and three loops (D, anti-codon, and T loops). The record is from RNAcentral. Lineage: Bacteria; Candidatus Falkowiibacteriota.
GCGCCUAUAGCUCAGUUGGUAGAGCAGCAGCCUUUUAAGCUGAUGGUCGCAGGUCCGAAUCCUGCUGGGCGCA